This 218-nucleotide unclassified non-coding RNA is filed under the name uncultured fungus. Its description in RNAcentral is "partial contains 18S rRNA, ITS1, 5.8S rRNA, ITS2 and 28S rRNA". Lineage: Eukaryota; Fungi. The record is from RNAcentral.
AAGGAUCAUUCAUAAUCAAAGUGUUUUUAUGGCACUUUUAAAAAAAAUCCAUAUCCACCUUGUGUGCAAUGUCAUCUCACUGGAGGUCAGCGGCUGUAAAAAGCCGUUUGGUCACCUUUGGGAUUUAUAUCUACUCAGAACUUUAGUGAUUUUGUCUGAAAAAUAUUAUGAAUAAACAAUUCAAAAUACAACUUUCAACAACGGAUCUCUUGGCUCUC